RNAcentral lists this long non-coding RNA (14673 nucleotides) under Sorghum bicolor (sorghum). RNAcentral describes it as "long non-coding RNA (SBIC_LNC003251)". The record is from RNAcentral. Lineage: Eukaryota; Viridiplantae; Streptophyta; Magnoliopsida; Poales; Poaceae.
GGGUUAGGAGACUUGAUCCCAUAGGUACAACUCGGAGUAGACACCGACAGGCCGGCCUUCCUCCGAUCCACACCUCCACUCUAUCUCUCUCAAUUUAGUAGAAACUAGAAGAUCUAUUUCUACUUUACAUUGGUUGCUAAGCCUAAAAAGAAAUAUUAUUUAGAGAAGAGGUUUUCCUUCAAGGGCACCCCUCAAUCUCUAUGAUAAUUUCUUGUCUCCUCCAGGGGCCAGAGGGGGUCUCCUUAUAUAGUCCUCCCCUUCUAUGCGUUUUUGGGUCGAUAGGCGAGGUGGUACUAUGUUAUUCUGGAUCCAAUAGGUCGGUGGAACGUCGUGUGCGAAGAGAGUCCGGAACGGAGUCCAGAGGUGGGCGGGCGCCAAGGUCCUCAGGGCGGGCGCCCUGGGCCUGGCCCCUUUCGAGCUCCGCUUCCUUCCUGUGGCUUCUGGAGUCUUCUAGAUGGUAGGAAAUUGCGCGGUGGGUUGAUAUCUCUAUGUAAUCCCGAUAUGUGGGCCUUUCUUCCUUAUUUCCUGAUAACCCCCUGCAGAAAUAGUCAAACACCAAAACUCGUGGAAUUCUGUUAGAUAAAACCCUAAGUCUAGAUGUUGAUUUCAUUUGGAUCCUUUUCUUUGUUUAUUUGAUAAUUAAAUUUGAUACUGAAGGACCGUCAACAAACUCCCCCAAGCUUACCUCUUGCUCGUCCCUGAGCAAGGAUGAACUCAAGAGUUUCUGUAGUGGUUUCAUUUCUUAGAAGUACACACGCAUUCAAGCAAGAUCUCAUCUCUGAGUUAGAAUAAACUGUUAAGACUUAAAACUUACUCAUUUUACCUUUCACCAUGGGGCUUGUAACCGUCACUUGUGUCUUGAGCAAUUAAAAGAUAGAACGGUCAAGUCAAGCGCCAUGUCUCUUAUUCUUGAUCAGCUAUAGCUCUGGAGUUUUUGCAGAUUUUCAAAUAAAACUCAGAGAUUCCUUGUAUGACUCUCUUAGAUCUCUCUUUUGUGGUAUUUCUGGAUCCUUACCAAGGCAGUAAUGGUAUAUGCCUUCUCUCAAAGUAUGUGGUAUUUUUGGUAUAAUGCAUAGUGAUAUUGCCUUCUCUCUCACCCUACUCUAAUAAGGUUUUGAUAUCUGGAGCUCAUAGGUGGGAGACAGCUAAUACAUACUUACACGACAUUUAUUGCAUAGUCAAACCAUGGAUCCAGAGAAACAAGUCAAUAAGUCAAAUCAAGAUGUGCAUGUGUGGCGAAUGAAUGGUGUAUGGUGAUGAUGUUGAUAAUAAUGGUGAAAGUCUAAUUCUACUUUUGCUCUUUUGAGGGGAUACAUACCUUUCUUGCACUUUGAAGCUUUUUGGGGAGAAUGAGAUGCUCUAUAUUUUCUUUUUCUUUCCUCUCAGGUGGGUAUCUUGUACCCCUAAUUCUACUGUCGGACACUUGUCCAUUUUUACCUCUCGUCUCACUUUUUUUUUCUUCCGAGGUUCCGGGCACUUGCCCCUUUUUAUUUCCUCGUAUAUUAUUUAUUUUAUUUUUUUUCUUUUUUAGAGCACUCAUCUCCUUAAAUAAUAUAGCAAGUGGUAGUAACCAAGAUAACUCGAGCAUGUAUUUCACAGGGAAUAACAGGGAUAGGAAAAUAUUUUUGGCUAUUCUCUCCCGAAUUAGGAGUAGAAUAAUUUUGGGUGAAUGUGGAGGUGGAAAUGAGUGGAUAUAUGUGGAUGGUACUUCCGGAGUAGAAGUAGCAUGUAUGAGUGAACGUGCAAGUGAAUCUUGAUUUUAACCACAUGACAAGCUCCUAAGGGUCUACACAGCUUGACCACACUCAAUACUCAUAAGCAGUAAAAAGUAAAUAUGUGGCUCAAAGUCUAGCAAGCAUGUAUAUAUGGCUGUGGUAGGAUUUUAAACUCUCAUCAUACAGGAACUCAUCAUGUGUUAUUUUAAAGAUUUUUUUCAAAGAUAAAAUUCUCUAGAAUUCUAGCAUCUCUAGGAACAGAUAAACAGCAGCUCAACCUUCCCAUAUCAUAUCCGUUAACGACUUAGACUUUAGAUCAAAUACUCUUCCCACAAGUUUAGGUUUAGAGCAAGCUUUAAAUUAUAACAGUUAUGCCUAAACUUGAGAGAGAUUUCAAUUUUAAGAACUAGUCAUGGCAGAGCAACUAUUCAUCAUUUCCAUGAGAGAGUUUAUCAUGAGUGUUCAUAGCAAACUUUAUUUAUUUAUUUAUUUAGAAAAUUAAGCAAAGAUAUAUAUAUAAGCAUAAAAUCUUUAUUUGGUUUUUCCUGGUUUAUGUAUAUUUAUACUUUAAUAUAGUAUAAGUAUAAAGAUAGAUAGAUAGAUAGAUAGAAAUACUUAUCGGGAUAAAUGGGGGUGCUAUCCCCCAAGCUGAAUUUUGACGUAAUUUCUCUUGAUGUAGUUAGCAGGUGGCAGAGGUGUACUUGAAAGUCAGCAGCAUUCUGACAACGAUUAAAAUAUCCUCCGUCUGCUAGUCUUCUUGAUUCUUAAAUCCUGUGGAGCUCAAAUAGACAACAAAGCUUUGUGGAACUGGUUAAGUGUUAGCAUAAAUACCUAGCCUUUAUCAUGUUGAGCCUCCUCAAUAAAUGUUAUUUAUUUAGCAGGAUUAUGCACUUAUUAUUUUUAUAUUUUUUAUUAUAAAAUGAAAACUUAUUUAUUUUAUUUUUAUGCCACCACAGUGAAUGUACUUAUGGGUUUUAUGCCAUGAGCAUACUCACAUAGGGCUUACUAUUUUUUUAACAUUUUUUUAAUUUUCUUUUCAAGAUAACAUGAACCUGAUUAACUAAGCAAACUAUAAUUGAAUAAUUGAAAGGAAAAGGAUAACUACCAAGUUUACCUCUUGGCAAGGCGUUCGGUGUUUUUAAGUCCUCCGAACGGGACUUCUUGUGUUUUCACUCGUCCUGGGAUUCGCUAGGUGGCGUAGUCGGUGGUUCCGGCGGCGCCUCCUCUUCGUGUGUAACUAUCUUCUCUCUCCACACCUGACUCGGUGCUACAGUCUCCUCAGGACAGUUCUGUUCAAGUGGUAUGUCUUCAGUCCUUAUCACUUCUCCUUCGUAGUCUACCCAUCCGUCCUUGAUGAUUUGCCUCCUCUGGUUGCGGUUGCGUUGUCUUCUUCUUGUCCUGACCUGCUUAGAGUCUUCAACUAUAUAGUUAGGGUCAGUAAAACAGCGGCAUACCUUCUCAGAGGAGAAGUGUAUGUGGACUUCUCCGGUUCCAAUAUAGAUGAUGGCUUUGAUAGUGCUGAGGAACUGUCUUCCAAGGAUGGUGGGUGGAUCAUACUCAUCUUCUCCCAUGUCAAUGACCUGAAAAUCAUCUAUAGCUGAAUGUAUAUUGGUUGUAGGGGCAUGGUUUCAUGCAGGAGCUGAUAAGUGACUACGGCCAUUAUGUUGACGUCAGAUCCGGUGUCGUAGAGUGUCUUCUGAAAAGAGUAUCUGUUGAUUGUGCACUCAAUGCUUAGAACACCAGGGUCGUCCUUCUUGAUCAAGAAAGGUGACUUGAGUCGACGAUCUUGACCUCCUUGAACUGCAGUGACCAUCUUAGCUGACUCGGUCCACAUUUGCUUGUUCCUGUUCCUCCUGUUGGUCCUCUUCCUUGGUUCAUGUCGGGGUUGCUCUGAAGUUUGUGUAGUCUUGUUCUUGAAGGAAAGUCUCCUUCUUCCCCUUGAUGUAGAGACUGAUCUUGGCAGCAUUAGCGUAGAUGACAGCUCUAGUGUUUAGGAAUGGCCUCCCUAAGAUGAUGGGUGCCCUCUCCUCAGUACCAGUCUCUAUCACCAUGAAGUCUGCUAGAGCAUACAAGGUACCAACUCGGACGCAGAGGUUCUUUAAUAUUUCCUUUGGGAAACUGAGUGUCCGAUCUGCAACCCUGGGCAUAAUGUUGACGCUAGAGCCAAAGUCGCAGAGUGCUUCUGGGAAGUCCACCAUGCCGAUGGAGAUCGGGAUGACGGGGCGUCCUAGAUCACCUCUCUGAGUAAUUAGGCCUCUGUUGAUUCCAACCUUGAUGUUGUUGAGGACGGUUGUAGUAAUAGUUGUUAUUGUUGUUGAUGUAGUUCACGUCCUCAAGCAUCUCAGGGCAGUGAUUGCCUGAGUGUCCAGUAUCUCCAGUGUGUUUGUGCUCGUAGAUCCUAGUUCUUCACUUGAUGGAAUCUGGGAGUUGUAAAACUCCUUCAUAUUAUGCUCGAAGUGUUCCUGCUCAUAGAGACAAGGUAGAGAUCAAGUGCAUGGGCCCUGUUGGUGGAAAACACCAACAGAACCAAAAGUGUAUUUGUUCUUCUCUAACCUUAAGCAUAGUGAGCAAGACAAAGUUGAUGGAUCAUGAGUGUAGCAUUUAAAACAUUUGUUAGAUCAGAUGGCUCAACCUAAUGGAAAGAUAAUCUAUCUAUAUUUAUGUUUUGUUUAUAUCUUCCAAAGAUUGAAUGUGGAAUACUUUAGCUUAUAUGAUUAGGAGUGUGGGAUCACGAAGGUAGUACUAAGAACAAAGAUUAAAGGACUAAACAUGCUGAAUUAAUUGAGUUGGUUAAUUUGGAGUUAUAAAUCAUACAUGUUUGUCUCUUUUAUUCAUGUGUAUGCCAGAACCAAGGAGAACUUAUAAAAGUGAUAAUCAAGUACUUUAAGAUGUUAUUGAAGAGUGAUGGUAUAGUAUCACCUUGUGGAAGCUUUCCUUUCUUAGUGGUUGUGCAUCGUGUUUGUGGCACCCUCCAUGAAUCAUCUCUUAUGAGCUACGUCUUUCUUGUGCAAAUUGUUAAACUUCAUGUGUCACUUUCUUCAUCUCCAAGGUGAGUUUAUCUCAGGACUUCCCAGGUUGAUAUUGAAAGUUCUCCUGCAGGGGUUAGUCCCACAAAAUAUACCAAUAUCUACUCAAGCAGUUUUUAGUUCAGUAACCAAACUAGACUCCAUGUCUAAUCAGCUUAAGGAAGGCUAUUUAACCUAAGCACCACGCUUAAUUUAAAUGCCAUUGGAAGUGUCCAGUACUUCCAAACUAACACUUACUAGGAUAAACAAAGGUAGCAUGAUGGCUUUUAUAGAGAUCUACUCAAGUGGAGAUGAAGUAUUGUGAUUAGUAUUUAACAAAUUGAGCAUGUCUCAAAGGUAAGGACAACCAACAUAGUAACAUGGCAAAGGAUGUUUUAUGUAAAGUACUCCCCCAAGCUUGAAUUUUGCAAAAUUCAAGUUUGGAUGAAUUUAAUUCAAUGUUGCAUGAUGAUUGGUUGGACAUACCUUGUGCUUGUCAUUCCUCGGAUCUUCUUGCUCCAAUCCUAGAAAGGUUAGUGACACGAAUACCCGAAGGAAUAUUUCUACAAUUAUCUUUAUAUGCUCAAUACACAAGGCAAUGUUGCAAAUAAUUAAAAGUUCAUGUUAUGAUCUGAUAAGUGCUUGUUUUAGGACACUAAGCUUGUCCUUGGGAAACCAUCAAUUAAAUCAGCGAGAUCUGCAAUAUUUAUUAUAGACAUAUGCAUCGACAACCGCUCUUUUAAAGUUUUUAUAAAUAGAAAAGAAGAGAGGGUUGGAGAUCUCAAAUGUGGUAAUGUUGGAGAGACUAAUUGAUUGGGGAGAUGUUGCAUAUGAGCAUGGACUUGGUGAGGUAUUUAUGAAAUAACUUCCAUGCUCACUGUUGUUUCUCUCAUUCUCAAACUCCAAGGAUGGUUCUUCAUGAAUGCUUAAAAUUCCUCUAGGAUUGUCUCUCAAGUUUGUUUUAUCUAUCCAUUCAAUGGUGAUAGCACAUGGAUUUUUAAUGCCCUCUAGCCAUCGAUGUUGCUCUUCUCGAUCAUCCUUGUGGUCUUGGUGACUCUUAUGCAUGGGAUGUCUAGAGAGAUCCAUAGGAUCAUCGGGAGGUUCAAGAGAAAGAGCAUAGUAGAAAUUGUUAAGCUCAAGGAUGGGUUGGAUAGCCGAAUCAUGGGAUUGAAAUGUUUAGAAAUUGGCUAUUGAAACUUUCUUUCCUCGUCUGGGAGAUGAUUCCUUCUCUAUCUCUAAGAUUUUUCUAUGAAGACUAGUACAAGAAGGAUGUCCGCGAAUGAAGACAUGCCUUCCUUUACUAAUAGAUAAAGAAAGGACUCUACCAAAGGUUAUAUGAUUAAGACCAAUGUGAAAAUAUCUAGGAAAAAUAUGGUCUUGUAGGGCUAGGUCUAAACCAGAAUUUAUAGGAAGAUUAACAUAUUCCCUAGGUGUAGCUAAAAGUGCAAUAUCUUUUUGAUUAAAAGAUAGGACCUCGGCUAUAGAAAAGGGUUGGUUUUGACCUAUUGCAAUCAACUCCGGACACAGAUCAUAAUUAGGGGCAGGACGUGUUGACUCCCAUGGUCUAUGGCUGGUCUCCGAAGGUGCAAAGAAUUCAAUAAUAGGUAUGGAAUUUGAGUUAUCCAUAAAGAUGGAAAAAAUAAAAAGAUAAAAGAAUAAAAGUAUAAAAGUAUAAUACGAGAUAAUAGCAAGACUCAAAGUUAUCUCAGCAAACCGUCUUUCUCCCCGGCAACGGCGACAGAAAUGCUUGUUGAUAUUUGGUAACGCAAUUAGAAAAUGAUCCGCAAGCGCACAUAUAUCGGUGAGCAUUUCACCCGGGAGGUUUUCCAGAGUAUCGUAUUUAUAUUUUUACCACUAGGAGAAAGGGUGCAUCUGACUAACCAAAUCUAUUGCUACUACCCCUUUAGGCUACAAAGAAUGUUUCUCGAUGUGAGUGAUGUAUAGAGAAGACUGCAACCGUAGUCUCGUUCUAACCUUGGUAAGGAUGAUCUACUGUUCUAUUGGGGAGGCUCACGGAAUCUAGACAACACAAAGGAUGUUCAACCCGCACCUAUAAACCUACCCGUCCUGCUAACAAGAUAUGGGAUACAAAGGUAACUCGGAAAUGUCAUGUUCCUCGCUACUACCACGGUCCAGCUAGUCAGGGGAUAUCUAUGAGUACCCUAGCCUAAACACCACGUUUACGCCAGCAAUGAUUACUCUAAUACUCAACCGGAAGAGGAUUAAAGUAAACUCAUAAACCAAAGAACAAUAAAACAAUAACUUACUAGCAUUAGAAGUCGAAUUACUGAAGAAUCUUAGAAGCAAGCCUCGGGUGGUUAGGAGACUUGAUCCCGUAGGUACAACUCGGAGUAGACACCGACAGGCCGGCCUUCCUCCAAUCCACACCUCCACUCUAUCUCUCUCAAUCUAGUAGAAACUAGAAGAUCUAUUUCUACUUUACAUUGGUUGCUAAGCCUAAAAAGAAAUAUUAUUUAGAGAAGAGGUUUUCCUUCGAGGGCACCCCUCAAUCUCUAUGAUAAUCUCUUGUCUCCUCCAGGGGCCAGAGGGGGUCUCCUUAUAUAGUCCUCCCCUUCUAUGCGUUUUUAGGUCGAUAGGCGAGGUGGUACUAUGUUAUUCUAGAUCCAAUAGGUCGGUGGAACGUCGUGUGCGAAGAGAGUCCGGAACGGAGUCCAGAGGUGGGCGGGCGCCCAGGUCCUCAGGGCGGGCGCCCUGGGCCUGGCCCCUUUCGGGCUCCGCUUCCUUCCCGUGGCUUCUGGAGUCUUCUAGAUGGUAGAAAAUUGCGCGGUGGGUUGAUAUCUCUAUGUUAUCCCGAUAUGUGGGCCUUUCUUCCUUAUUUCCUGAUAACCCCCUGGAGAAAUAGACAAACACCAAAACUCGUGGAAUUCUGUCAGAUAAAACCCUAAGUCUAGAUGUUGAUUUCAUUUGGAUCCUUUUCUUUGUUUAUUUGAUAAUUAAAUUUGAUACUUAAGGACCGUCAACAGUAUUGCAUUGCUUGUUUGCUCUCUCCUUGUCGGUGGGGUUAGCGGGAUCAAGGAUCACAAAAUCAUUUUCCAUCACUUCCCACACUCUAUCAUUUAUUGAUCCAAGGUACAUUUUCAUUUUUCUUUUCCAAUAGUCAAAAGAUCUUGUGCCAUCAAAGAACGGUGGCUUGCCCCCAACAUGGUUGAACACUAUUUGAGCUAUAAUUUGAGCACCGAGGUUGUUAAGCCUUCACAAAACGGUGACCACGGCUCCGAUACCACUUGAAACAUCCUAAUAUGGCUAGAGGGGGGUGAAUAGCCUAUUUAAAAAUUCUACAAACUCACUAGAGCAAGAGGUUAGUAAAUAACAAAGCGAAGCUUUUUGCUCUAGCUCUAAAGGGGUGUUUGCAAGCCACCUAUCCAACAAUUCUAGUUGAUAUAAUCACUAGGCACACAAGAGCUAUGUCACUACUUACACUAGAAAGGUACCUAAAGUUUCUAUACAAGUAAGUAAUCUACUCUUGUUUGCGGGAAGGUAAAAAGAGAUAGUUUGAUAUUUAUACCGCCACGUAGAUGGGAUGAACCAAUCAAUAAUAUGAAGUCCAAUCACCGGGAGAAAUCCAAUGAACAAUCACAAUGGAGACACACAAUGUUCUCCCGAGGUUCACGUGUUUGGCAGCAUGCUACGUCCGCGUUGUGUCGACGAACACUUGGUGGUUCGAUGGCUAAGAGGUGUAGCAUGAACCUUGUCCUCACUAGGACACACCAAGAACCGACCCACAAGUGAGGUAGCUCAAUGACACGAGCAAUCCACUAGAGUUACCUUUCGGCUCUCGGCCGGGGAAGGUACAAGACCCCUCACAAUCACCGAGAGAUGGCCACGAACAAUCACCAACUUGUGCCAAUGCUCCUCCGCUACUCCAAGCCGUCUAGGUGGCGUCAACCACCAAGAGUAACAAGAAAACUGCAGCCAAAACGAUCCCAGGUGCCACUAGAUGCAAUCACUCAAGCAAAUGCACUUGGAAUCACUCCCAAUCUCACAAAGAUGAAUAAUCUAAGAAGGAGAUGAGUGGGAAGUGUUUGCUUAGGCUCACAAGGAUGUCAAGUAUGCUAGAAUACCAAGAGGGUGAGCCCUAAGCCGGCCAACACGUAUUUAUAAGCCCCUCAAACAAAUAGUGUCAUUGGCUCUUUCACUAGGCAGAAAACGGAGCCACCAGACGCUCUUCAUGUUACACCGGACGCGUCCGGUGCCUGGAACAAUUCCACCGUUUGAAAUCCAACCGUUACCGCCAACGUGAGUCUCCCUAUGGUCGCAGCACCGGACUCACAGUGAGUCCACAACGGACUCGUCUAGUCCUCAAUGAACUUUAACCCAGAGAGCUCUACAAGUGAAAAGAGCACCGGCCUCUUACCACCGGACCGUCCGGUGCUCACCGUUCUUAAACCCAGAGAGCAGUGCAAAAGCGUAGACCACCAGACUCUCCUCACCGGACACGCCUUGAGCGUCCGGUGCUUCCAGUCAAACACACCAGGUGAAGUCAAGUCACAGCAAACGCACCAACAGGAUCUCUCCUGCGUCCGGUGUCUAACCCUAGUAGAGCCAGGCACUACCUGCACACCGGAUGCAGAGACACAGCAUACGAUGCCUCUGGGCCAGCGUCCGAUGAGUGUUUCUCCCGCGACUUCUCCAAAUUUCCCACCAGUGCAAUAGACAAUAUGCACUUCAUUUUCUCAAAAAGCACCGAGCCCAUCCUCUCUCUACCCUUCAAACUCCACCUCCUUCUCAAAGUGUGCCAACACCACAAAGUGUGUACCAACAAGUGCACGUGUAUUAGAAUUUUCACAAUCAUUUUCUUUGAAUGAGUUAAGUUAGCUCACUAGGUUCUAAAUGCAUGCACAUGAAUAAUGACACCUAGUGGCACUUGAUAACCGCUUAGCCAAAGAAUUCGCCUCUUUAUAGUACGGCUAUCUAUCCUAAAUGUGAUCACACCCUCUAUAGUGUCUUGAUCACGAAAACCAAAACCCUAAGCAAUACCUUUGCCUUGUUCUCCAUAGGGUUUUGUUUUUCUCUUUCUUCUUUUCCAAGUUGAGCACUUGAUCAUCUUGUGGCCAUCACCAUGAUCAUUUCUUGCUCCAUCACUUGGCAUGUACCAACCUCAUUAAGUAUACACAGACUUAGUAUAGAGGUUAGUACAAGGGUUUCAUCAAUUAUCCAAAACCAAACUAGGGUUGUCACCUAGUUGGUGAAAACACGACUCUUGAGGAGAAGAUCUGCGGUAAGGCUUCUAUGCUCUUAUGUUUUCUUUGUUUGUGCGAUGUUCCUUUUCUAUCGUCUGAUUCCUUAUUUCGAUCUCUGCAGGGCUUAAGGAUGUUUGGCUGGUAGCCCAGGUUGACUCCUAGUCUCUUAAGGCGUAGCUCGAGGGAGAGGUCAUGUUGAUAGGUUGACUAAGAACAGCGAUCAACGACCUCUCGACCUCUUGGGAGCUCGAGCCUGCAAACAAGGCGGGGGAGACGGCUCGAGGUGAUGCUCUGGUCGACCAGCUAUGCUACCUUGGCGCCACUCUGAGGGACCGAGUGCGAGACGCACUCCAUACUAGGGUGAAGUGGGCUAUGGAGGUCGUAUGCUCGGGCUUCUCCUAUGAUAUGGAGGUAGUGUCCUACGGCUUCGUCACCGACAUCUCCAAGACCGAUGCUGAGAAUGAGGAGAGGCGCCAUGCCUUGAUCGACAAAGUAGAGGUUCCUAGCGAGAGGCUGGCGAAGCUGUUCGAGCCAGAGGUGCUCCCUCGUGAAGCCGGCGCGGGCACAGAAGAUGGGGGUGAGGGUGGAGAUGAUGACUAAGGCCUGUGGGCCUAAUUUGGGUACUUAGACCCAUUGUAAUAUAUUUAGUACUUGUCUUAGAUAAGCAUUGUGGCCCAAGUGGCCUUAAGACUCAUGGUUUCUAUAAAUACUUGUUAUUUUUAUGCUCGAGCUUCUUUUAUUGCUUUGUUGCCUAAGUUCAUGUUCCUCGAUUGCUCUUUUUGUUAAAAACGACCUCGAUUCCCUCGAGGCUAGGGGAGUGAGUAGAGUUACCGUAGCCCAGAGGUGUAGGGAUUCUCAGGCUCGACGUCCCCCGGCCCUUAAGGGGCUCGAGACGUCUUUACUCAAUCGCGCGGGAUUUCCAUAGGGCUUAAAAGGGAAAAGAUAGCGUGGAGCUUUUUGAAAAAUUGUUCGAUUUUUAGGAGCCCGUGGGGUUCCCCCCUGCUAGCCCCUAAGGGAGUUUUGACUAUGAUGGGUCAUAGUCGAGUCUUCCUCCUAAUCUCAAGAUUUAAUGGUAACAUUGUGUAUUACUUGGAGAAGUACUUUCAUUCAUUCAAAUAUUCAUUCAUGGAGCCUCAAUGGUACAAGAUGUGUGUGAAAUGUAAAGCCUCAAAGCUCUAGAGGUAGAAGCAACAUAGCUGUUCGAUGUUCCAUGUGUUGGUGAAGACAGCCCCCUUUUCAUCCGCGAGCUUGUACGUCCCGGGCUUCAAGACCUCAGCCACCACAUAUGGACCCUCCCAAGGUGGAGUCAGCUUGUGGCGUCCUUGAUUGCUUUGCCAUCGAUGUAGGAUGAGGUCGCCCACAUUCAGGUGCCUCUUGCAUACGUGCCUGUCGUGGUAGCGUCAGAGCUUCUACUGGUACCUUGCUGAGUUGAGGAGGGCCAUGUCUCGAGCUUCCUCGAGUUGGUCGACCGCGUUAUCUUGAGUCUCCUUGUUUGUCUGCUCAUUGUAUGCUUUGAGUCGAGGUGACCCAUACUCGAGGUCUGUUGGAAGCACGGCCUCAGAGCCAUAGACCAUGAAGAAUGGGGUGUAUUUCGUGGCUCUGCUCGGCAUCGUUCUUAAGCUCCACAGGACCGAGGAGUGUUCCUCGACCCAUUUCUUGCCGAACUUCUUCAACUGGUUGUAGAUUCUAGGCUUGAGCCCUUGCAAAAUCAUGCCGUUGGCAUGCUCGAUCUAGCCAUUAGUUUGAGGGUGAGCUACUGCAAACCAGUUCACACGGAUGUGAUGCCGAUCAUAGAAGUCCCCGUGAACUGUGUGCCAUUGUUGGGGAUGAUGACGUUGGGUAUCCCAGAUCAAUGGAUUAUGUCAGUGAAGAAGAGGAUGGCUUGCUCGGAGUGAAUGUUAGUGAUGGGUCGAGCUUCGAUCCAUUUUGAGAAUUUAUCGAUGGCUACUAGCAGAUGGGUAUACGCACGAGAUGCUUGUUGAUAUUUGUUAACGCCAUCAGAAAAUGAUCCGCAAGCGCAUGGAUAUCGGUGAGCACUUCACCCGGGAGGUUAUCCAGAGUAUCGUAUUUAUAUUUUUACCACUGGGAGAAAGCGUGCAUCUGACUAAGCAAAUCUAUUGCUACUACCAUUUAGGCUACAAACAAUGUGAUUUGAUGUGAGCGAUGUAUAGAGAAGACUACAACCGCACUCUCGUUCUAACCUUGGUAAGGAUGAUCUACUGUUCUAUUAGGGAGGCUUACGGAAUCUAGACACCACAAAGGAUGUUCGACCCGCACCUAUAAACCCUACCGAUCCUACUAACGGGAUUGUGGGCUAAAAAGGUAGCUACAGAAAUGUCAUGUUCCUCGCUACUACCACGGUCCUGCUAGAUAGGGGAUAUCUAUGAGUACCCUAGCCCAAACACCACGUUUACGCUAGCAAUGAUUACUCUAAACUCUACCGAAAGAGAUUAAAGUAAACUCAUAAACCAAAGAACAAUAAGAACAAAGAACUUACUAGAAUUUAGAAGUCGAAAUACUAAAGAAUCAUAGGAGCAAGCCUCGGGUUAGGAGACUUGAUCCCGCAGGUACAACCUCGGAGUAGACACUGACAGGCCGGGCUUCCUCUGAUCUAUACCUCCACUCUAUCUCUCUCAAUCUAAAAGAACUAAUUCUAAUCUCACAUUGGAUGCUAAGCCCUAUGAGGUUGGAACCCUAGAGGGACCUCUCUCUCUGAAUCCUCUCUAGAAAAUAUGCCAAUGAAUAAUGGGAUUGCCCUCCUCUAGGGGCCAGGGGGCCUGCUUAUAUAGCCCCUCCAAAUGAACGUGGGUCGUUGGAUCAAACCGACCUAAUCACACUGUUUUCCUUAAUCGUUUAGGUCGGUGGAGCAAAAUCCGUGAGACGAGACUUGAUUGGUCCCUCUAGCAGGGCGGGCACCCUAGGGGGGAGGGCGGGCGCCCUACCCCCAGGCCCGCUCGGCCUCCCGUUCGUUCCCAUGGCUUCUGGACUCUUCUAGAUGAUUGAAAAUUGUGCAGCACGUUAAUAUCUCUAUGUAAACCCAACGUGUGGGCCUUUCCUCCAUAUUUCCUCAUAACCCCCUGCAGAAAUAGACGAACACCAAAACUUGUGGAAUUCUGUCACAUAAAACCCUAAGUCUGGGUAUUGGUUGCAUUUGGAUCAUUUUCUUUAUUUAUUUGAUGAUUAUAUUUGGUACUUAAGGACCGUAAACAACUCCCCCAAGCUUACCUCUUGCUCGUCCCUAAGCAAGGAUGGACUCAAGAGUUUCUGCAGUGGUUUCAUGCCUUAAAAGUACACAUGCGUUCAAGCAAGAUCUCAUCUCUGAGUUAGAGUAAACUGUUAAGACUUAAAACUUACUCAUUUUACCUUUCACCAUGGGGCUUGCAACCGUCACUUGUGUCUUGAGCAGUUAAAAGAUAGAACAGUCUAGUCAAGCGUCAUGUCUCUUGUUAUUUGAUCAGUAUAGCUCUAGAGUUUUUGCAGAUUUUCAAAUAAAACUCAGAGAUUCCUUGUAUGACUCUCUCAAAUCUCUCUUUUGUGGUAUUUUUAGAUCCUUUCCAAGGCAAUAAUGGUAUAUGCCUUCUCUCAAAGUAUGUGGUAUUUUUGGUAUGAGGCAUAGUGAUAUUGCCUUCUCUCUCACCCUACUCUAAUAAGGUUUUGAUAUCUGGAGCUCAUAGGUGGGAGAUAAAGCAUACAUACUUACAAGACAUUUAUUGCAUAGUCAAACCAUGGAUCCAGAGAAACAAGUCAAUAAGUCAAAUCAAGAUGUGCAUGUGUGGCGAGUGAAUGGUGUAUGGUGAUGAUGGUGAUAACAAUGGUGAAAGUCUAAUUCUACUUUUGCUCUUUUUAGGGGAUACAUACCUUUCUUGCUCUUUUGAAACUUUUUGAGGAGAAUGAGAUGCUCUACAUUUUCUUUUUCUUUCCUCUCAGGUGGGUAUCUUGUACCCCUAAUUAUACUGUCGGACACUUAUCCAUUUUUACGUCUCGUCUCACUUUUUCUUUUCUUUCGAGGUUCUGGGCACUUGUCCCUUUUUAUUUCCUCAUAUCCUUUCUCUUUUUUUAAGCACUCAUCUCCUGAAAUAAUAUAGCAAGUGGUAGUAACCAAGAUAACUCGAGCAUUUAUUUUACAGGUAAAAACAGAAAUAGGAGAAUGUUUUUUGGCUAUUCUCUCCCGGAUGAGGAGUAUAAUACUUUUGGGUGGUUCUGGAGAUGGGAAUGAGUGGAUAUAUGUGGAUGCGUACUUCAGGAGUAGAAGCAGCAUGUGUGAGUGAACGUGCAAGUGAAUCUUGAUUUUAACCGCAUGACAAGCUCCUAAGGGUCUACACAACUUGACCACACUCAAUGCUCAUAAGCAGUAAAAAGUAAAUAUAUGGUUCAUAGUCUAAUAAGCAUGUAUAUAUGGCUGUGGUAGGAUUUUAAACUCUCAUCAUACAGGAACUCAUCAUGCAAUAUUUUAAAGAUUUUCAAAGAUAAAAUUCUCCAGAUUUCUAGCAUCUCUAGGAAUAGAUAAACAGCAGCUCAACCUUCCCAUAUCAUAUCCGUUAACGACUUAGACUUUAGAUCAAGUACUCUUCCCACAAGUUCAGGUUUAGAGCAGGUUUAAAUUAUAACAGUUAUGCCUAAACUUGAGAGAGAGCUCAAACUUGAAAACUAGGUACAUGGCAGAGCAACUAUUUAUCAUAUCCAUGUAAGAGUUUAUCAUUUAAGUUCAGUUUGGCCUAGACACUUUAUUUAUUUAUUUAGCAAACUAAGCAA